UUUGCUACUCACUGUAUCAUUACCGGUAUUUCAUAUCUUAAAUAUAAUAUUAUUUAUAUCCACAUCCUAAUUUUGGUGGUGCUUGCCAGAGCAAUUAUGUUGCGCUAUUCAAUCGUGAUAAUUCAACCACAAUAAGCCUUCACUUUCCAUGCGAUUAAAUAAGAGCAUAUUUAGUUGAUGGGAGUUGGAUUUUGAAAUGAAACUAGAAAUUAGUGACUCC
RNAcentral lists this long non-coding RNA (220 nucleotides) under Elaeis guineensis (African oil palm). RNAcentral describes it as "long non-coding RNA (EGUI_LNC037343)". Lineage: Eukaryota; Viridiplantae; Streptophyta; Magnoliopsida; Arecales; Arecaceae. The record is from RNAcentral.